This 463-nucleotide ribosomal RNA is filed under the name uncultured bacterium. RNAcentral describes it as "partial 16S ribosomal RNA". It matches the Rfam family "Bacterial small subunit ribosomal RNA", at positions 28 to 506 of the family's 1533-position model. The record is from RNAcentral.
GACGAACGCUGGCGGCGUGCUUAACACAUGCAAGUCGAACGGUAAGGCCCCAGCUUGCUGGGGUACACGAGUGGCGAACGGGUGAGUAACACGUGGGUGACCUGCCCCGCACUUCGGGAUAAGCCUGGGAAACUGGGUCUAAUACCGGAUAGGACCGCACCGUGAGGGUGUGGUGGAAAGUUUUUCGGUGUGGGAUGGGCCCGCGGCCUAUCAGCUUGUUGGUGGGGUAAUGGCCUACCAAGGCGGCGACGGGUAGCCGGCCUGAGAGGGUGGACGGCCAAAUGGGGACGGGGACACGGCCCAGACCCCUACGGGGGGCAGCGGGGGGGAAUUUUCCACAAGGGGGGGAAGCCUGAUGCAGCGACCCCGGGGGGGGGAUGACGGCCUUCGGGUGGUAAACCCCUUUCCCCAUCGACGAAGGUUUUCUGGCGGUAGUUGGAGAAGAAGCACCGGCUAACUACGG